CCUCCCCUGGAGCCUGCUGCCGGAGGGCUGCCGCAUCCAGUGGCGGCGCAGGACCGACAAUGUCCUGCUGGUGGCGGCGGCGGUUUCGGAAUCACCUCUGGACAUGGAUGACACGACGACGACGCUGCUGCCGCCUGGCCCGGAGCACGAGCCCUGUACGGCGGGCGGCAUUGCUUGCACCACCGGCGGCUGCAAGAAACGGGCAUCGCCCGCCGCUGCUGUGCCGAUGCCAGCCGGUGCGGCUGAUGUGGCGGAGGAGGCGGAGGAGGCGGAGGAGGCGGAGGAGGCGGAUGAGGCGGAGGAGGGCGGCCCUGCUGCCAACAAGCGCCGCCGCAUGUGCUCACUGGCGGCGGCGGCGGCGGACGCCAUGCCUGCGGGUGAGGGUGGCGAGGGCGGUGAGGGCACAGAGGGCAGCAAGGCCGGCGACAUGGAGAAGGCCUGCCCGCCUAGCGCUCCGCAAUCGUCAGCGGCUGUUGCGGGGGCUGCGGCGGCGGCGGCGGCUUCUGCUGCCGAGGGCGUCGCGACGCCCGCGGACGCGCUGCAAGAGGCAGCUCCCGCUUCUGGUUCCGCCGCUUCUGUGGCACGUUCCGCCACUAUUACCGCCGCGGCGCCACAGCCGCCGCAGCAGACCUGGCCGGUCGCCGUGAAGAUUGAGCCUCAAGCGGAAGAGCCGGUGGCUGUGACCUUGAAGCAGGAGCGCGUCGCGGCAGAGCCAGCUGCAGGGUCGCUACCCGCCGCCAUUGCAGCAGGUCCAGCCGGCGGCGGAGCUGCCGCGGCAGCAGCCGCCGCAGCAGCACCAGCACUACCAUCAGCACCCGCAUCCGCACCCGCAGCAGGUGACUGCUGCCGCUUUCGCCUCAUCAGCCGGCGGGCACCAGCAUGGCAGCAGCACUGCCAGAGGGCCGGCGCCGGGGCAGCAGCACCAGCAGCACCAGAGAGACCUCGUCAGCAGCAGGGCGCCACCGGCGCCCGCCAGCACUCCUGCCGCCGCUGCUGCCGGCCCUCCUACGGGCGCUGAUGCUCUCAGACCGGAGCUGCUUCUGCGGCAGCAGUCAUCAAUGACCACGAAUGGUGCCGGUGUUGCUGGUGCGCCCACCGAGAAACAUGGGGCGCCAACGCCGCAGGAGGGCGACCUGAUGGGUUCGCUGGGGAACAUGCUGUCGGCCGCCGCCGCCGCGAACCCAGCCGCCGUCGUGAAGCUGCUGCAGCAGCUGCAGCGCGAGCUACUGCAGGGCGGCGGCGGCGGAGGAGGAGGAGACACGGAAGGCAGAGGAGGAGAUGCCUACGCUGGCGAGGAGCGUGUUUUGGCCGCCGCAGUUGCAGCCACAACCGCCGGCUCCAGGCCCACCGCCGAAGACUCCAAGUCACCGGCACGGCAGCAGCAGCUGCUACAGCCGCCGCCACCGCCAUCAUCGUCGGUGGAGGCGCUACAGCCGUCGCUGCGUGCUGCGCUGGCUGCUGCGUCCUGCUGGUGGCGGCGGCGGUUUCGGAAUCACCUCUGGACAUGGAUGACACGACGACGACGCUGCUGCCGCCUGGCCCGGAGCACGAGCCCUGUACGGCGGGCGGCAUUGCUUGCACCACCGGCGGCUGCAAGAAACGGGCAUCGCCCGCCGCUGCUGUGCCGAUGCCAGCCGG
This 1638-nucleotide long non-coding RNA is filed under the name Chlamydomonas reinhardtii. Its description in RNAcentral is "long non-coding RNA (CREI_LNC001318)". Lineage: Eukaryota; Viridiplantae; Chlorophyta; Chlorophyceae; Chlamydomonadales; Chlamydomonadaceae. The record is from RNAcentral.